RNAcentral lists this ribosomal RNA (472 nucleotides) under Microsporidia sp. Its description in RNAcentral is "bacterial SSU rRNA". It matches the Rfam family "Microsporidia small subunit ribosomal RNA", at positions 200 to 696 of the family's 1311-position model. Lineage: Eukaryota; Fungi; Microsporidia. The record is from RNAcentral.
CUACCAAGACAGUGACGGUUGACGGGGAAUCAGGGUUUGAUACCGGAGAGGGAGCCUGAGAGAUAGCUCCCACGUCCAUGGACGGCAGCAGGCGCGAAAAUUGCCCACUCUUUGCAGGAGGCAGUUAUGAGACGUGAGAUUGAAUAUUUUGUAAAGAGGAAUAGGAGAAUUGGAGGGCAAGUUUGGUGCCAGCCGCCGCGGUAAUACCGACUCCAAGAGUGUGUAUGAGAGAUGCUGCAGUUAAAAAGUCCGUAGUCGUAGAAGUUGAAAUAGGGAUGUGAGGUCUCUGUAGUUAGUUUUGGAAAAACCGAUGGGGAACAUAGUAUACCAGGGCGAGAGAUGAAAUGCCAAGACCCCUGGUGGACUGAGCGAGGCGAAAGCGAUGUUCUUGUAGGUAUUUGAUGAUCAAGGACGAAGGCUGGAGUAUCGAAAGUGAUUAGAUACCGCAGUAGUUCCAGCAGUAAAAGAUGCC